CUCCGAGGCGCAUUUCUCAAUUUCUCAAUCGCCGGGCUGCUCCCGCACACAAUGCCGAGAGGGCUCUGGCAGAGGCAUGAAAGGCUUUAAAUAGAAACCAGCGUUUCUCCCUGCGCUGCACACAAUGCUUCCCUGACCCUCCGCCGACCUCACCCUCAAAUCUGGGGUUCACAGCCCCAGCCUUGAACCCGGCUCUGUUUUUUCAUGUUUGGCCUCUCUAUUUCCUGAGGAAAGGCCUGAGGAAGAAAGUUCAUGGCGCAGGAAGCUGAGGGAGCCAGCCCGGCAUCCCGGCGGGGCGAGGUGCUCUCACCUUGCGGAACGCGGGGAUUGCGACACCCGAGCAAAGAGAAGACGCUCCCAGUGUCAGCAGCUCUCCAGAAGUCUCAAGAGGCAGAGGGAUCCAACCGGCACGGCAGCAGCUUCCCUGAUGGUCUCUUAUUUAUUUCCUCCUCUAUUUAUUUGAUGGCAUUUUCUUUAUUGGAAGAAGUUCCUGGGCUUUGCUCUCCCCUGUCACAGCUGCCCAGUGCGGGGGCUGUGGGAGGAGAGGGCAGAGGGUGGCACAUCAAACAGCUCGAGGGAUGGAGUGAUGGAUGGAGGCUGCCCUGUGAUUAAUAAUCAAACCAAGAGCUUUUACUGGGCGUCAUGUGGAAAAUGUGGCUUUGGAAACAUUUGUCUUCAUCCCACAAACAACAAGUGGUGUUUCUUUCCCUUUCUUUGUUUCUCUCCC
RNAcentral lists this long non-coding RNA (727 nucleotides) under Chloebia gouldiae (Gouldian finch). RNAcentral's name for it is "Erythrura gouldiae (Gouldian finch) lncRNA (ENSEGOG00005006012.1)". Lineage: Eukaryota; Metazoa; Chordata; Aves; Passeriformes; Passeridae. The record is from RNAcentral.